Molecule: ribosomal RNA, 322 nt
Filed under: Allapsidae sp.
Lineage: Eukaryota; Cercozoa; Glissomonadida; Viridiraptoridae
Description: SSU rRNA
Rfam family: Eukaryotic small subunit ribosomal RNA (bases 104-322)
Source: RNAcentral
GAUUUCUGGUCUGGUGCGCCUGGCCCGCCGCAUCAGCGUGUGAGUGCCGGGUCGCGCCUGCCAUCCUUCUAGAAAACGUAUCUACCCUUCACUGGGCCGGAUACGCGAUCUAGAUCUUUUACUUUGAAAAAAUUAGAGUGUUUAAAGCAGGCAUUUGCUAUGAAUACAUUAGCAUGGAAUAAUAAUCUAGGACUUUCGGUUCUAUUUUGUUGGUGUUCUGGAGCUGAAGUAAUGAUUGAUAGGGAUAGUUGGGGGUGCUAGUAUUCAAUGGCCAGAGGUGAAAUUCUCGGAUUCCUUGAAGACUAACUUAUGCGAAAGCAUU